UGAAAUAAAUGAAAACGGGGGCGGCCCGUUUGGCAUAAGGUCAUUUGGCAUAAUACCGUUUGGCAUAACGCUGUUUGGCAUAAUGGUUAUUUGGCAUAACAGUUAUUUGGCAUAAUGGUCUUUUGGCAUAAUGGUCAUUUGGCAUAAUGCCAUUUGGCAUAAUAAUAAUGGGAUUUGCAAUAUUUUAAUCUAAUGAAAAUUUUCGUAUGUGUUUCGAUCGAUUGAUGUUGUGCAAGGAAAACUCGAACGAAAUAUGUGAAACCUUUUUUAUAUAAGCAACUCACUUAGUGCCAGCACAAUAUUCUGUUCGUCAUAGAUGAUUUAGGACGAGACGGCCGAAGGCCGCGAGUGCGCCGGCGACCCGCCGUCGGAAGUGCCGGCCACUGCGGGGGGCAGCGCCCCCGCAGAAAUCACCUCUGUCUACACACUAAGAUUUAAUUUCUUUAUUCGGUAAUAUUUUUGACGAAAACUUUCGGUAAUCUAUAGUAAUAACCGAUAUUUCGGUACAUGGGUUUUAUUUUACAACAAUUAUGCAAAUUUUCACCGAACGAUCAGUUUAACUUUAAUUUUCAUUACAGAAUUCUGAAUUAGAUAUACAAUUGAUACGGUAAACCUGAAUAGUCGCCGAAUACGGUAAAAAUCAUACUGUCCGUUUGGUAAAGUUAUCUUCCAAUAACCGAACUUCUGUGAAAACCGAUUAUCAUGAAACUAACUGUCAAACAGUUAUUAAAAUAUUCAGUGAGUGUCUUUUUAUUAACCAAACGAAAAAAAUGUUGAAGGGUUCAUCGAUUGGAUUGAGGCGGAAAAUAAUUUUGUAUCACUUGUCCACUUGCUGCCAACACAAAUCGUUCAAGGGUAAUUUUUGUUGGACUCGACGGAUUGUGAAGUGUUUUGGAAGGCGCUCAUAAUUCCGGUCAGUCGGAACAUCUGACACUUUUUAAAUUUCUCGUGGAAUAAAACCAUUUUCUUUAUUCGUUUUUGUUAA
Molecule: long non-coding RNA, 985 nt
Organism: Malaya genurostris
Lineage: Eukaryota; Metazoa; Arthropoda; Insecta; Diptera; Culicidae
Exons: 2
Source: RefSeq, a predicted model, not a curated record